AACCGGGCUGCUCUAUCUUCUUCACAAGCUAACCAUCGGACCCUAAUCUUCAGCAGCUAAUAACGACCCCCUCCCUCUCAUUCUUCUUUCUUUUUCUUUAACUCAUAUUCGUGCACGCCCUUGAAGAUCUGGUUGAAGAAGUCAAAAGAAAGAAGCGAAAAUUCCAAAAUCGGAUUUGAAAAGCUAAAGAAGAGGAAUUUCUUAAAAAUCUGGAUUUCUAGUUGUCUCUCAGAGUCAAAAUCACCGUUGUUCAUUGUUGAAGCUGUUGUAUCUGCGUAGCUGAACUCUCUUCGAUUUUCUUGACCUUUAUUUGGGUUCAUUUCCUUCUUCUUGUGAUAAAUUCAAGGUAAAUGUUCUUAUAUCUCGCUAAAUGUGCUGAGUUUUAUAAGAUGUUAUAGUUUUUAUGGUGCUGAAAUUGAAUUGCAUUCUUGGAAUCAUGCUUUCGAUUAUUAGAUCUGUUUUAUUGGUGUUUAUAUGUUAACGACUAAGUUAUGCUAAUGACUUGGGUCUGAGUUUUUUAAAAUUGGAGUUAGUUGUUAAUCCGUGUCGUUUGGUUUCUACUGUUGUUCUGCACUUUCAUGAUUUAUUCGUUGCUCAAAUGCUGACAUUUAUUUGCUUAAUUUUAUUGUUUUCCCUAGUAUUAGUUUGAUGUUCCUACUGUUAAAUUCCAUCCGCUAUUGCAAACUCUGUAUGACUAUGAGACUCGGUUAAAAAUAGUAUAUUGGGCUUUUUAUCCAUCUAGCCUCCAACAGACAAAGAAUAUGUCGACAUUUUUUCCCAGA
This 782-nucleotide long non-coding RNA is filed under the name Nicotiana tabacum (common tobacco). Its description in RNAcentral is "long non-coding RNA (NTAB_LNC008113)". The record is from RNAcentral. Lineage: Eukaryota; Viridiplantae; Streptophyta; Magnoliopsida; Solanales; Solanaceae.